AGCUGCAAAAAUCAUGUCAUGGAAUAGAAGCUACCAUUAAUCAUGUUAGUGCAAGAGGCCACAAACAUGCUACCUAGAUACACCCUUUGGAUCACCCUGGUAGCAGCCAAGCCCUCUGCCGUUCCGCCAGAAGGAGAUGAGAUUCUUCUAUCUUUUCUGCUUCUGAAAAAAAACAUAAAAGGCCUACAGAUCAAACCAUCAUAUAUAUGACCACUUCAGUUUCAAUAAUUUAUUGAUUCUCUUAAAAUUAAAUGAUGUCUCGUCAUCUUGUGUUUGCUUAAAUAUAUAAUUAAUAGCCAGGGAUUAGAGGCCGGAUGUAUGAAAAAAAAUUAAAGCUUGGCUGCUGCACAGUCAUUACCAGUUGCAUGGACAACAGUGGACGGAAAGCUAGAUAAGCAGGAUGCCGCUUUGCAAGCUUAGUCGUACAUCAAUGAACCGUUGAAGAAGUGAAAUCUAUCCACAUACCCAGGUCGCAAGCUUACUCGUGCAUCAAUGAACCGUUGAAGAAGUGAAAUCUAUCCACAUACCCAGGUCGCUUUGCAAGCUUACUCGUGCAUCAAUAAACCGUUGAAGAAAUGAAAUAUAUACACAUACCCAGGUCUAUGACAGGAGCCUAGAGAGGCCAUCUAGUACUGUCACCAAGGGGAGAUCACUUCUUGUCGAGAUCGAUUGAGCCUCUUCUCGAGCUCCCGGGUCCCGAUGUGUCCUGUCUUCCUCAAUCUCACUGCACCAUUCCUCUCCCCUUGCGGCAUCCUCUCUGCUGCAUUAAUCAUAUAUUGCAUUUGCAGCAAUAUAAAUGCCAUUCUCAGUACUCCACAACUUACAGUAGUAAAAUAUCUAGCUGAUUCUCUACGGUUCAUUUACUUGAGAACUGCUGACAGAUUUUGUUCUACAUGCAAAUUGAAUACUGGAGAGUAGCUAAAAUCGAAAGAAGAGAAGGCACAAGGAUGUACACGCCUACUGGAAAGUACCUAAAACUGAAAGAAGAAAAGGAGCAAGGAUGUAUGCACAUGUUCCCUAAGCACUUGAUGUUAGGCUCCCUCUUCCCCAAGCUCGCACCUGCACCUUCUUCUCCCUACCUCUCCUCCUCCCUGAAUCUUCCUCUUUCUCUCUUUUCUACCAGGGAAAACUAAAGCCCCGCCAUGGCUUGGAGCUCUCCCUGCCAGCCAUGGAGACCCGCCUCUACCUGCAAGGAAUUCACGCCGCCGCACCAGAUCCCUCCGUCUCACACGCCCGUCCGCCGUCACUCA
This 1250-nucleotide long non-coding RNA is filed under the name Triticum aestivum (bread wheat). Its description in RNAcentral is "long non-coding RNA (TAES_LNC018843)". Lineage: Eukaryota; Viridiplantae; Streptophyta; Magnoliopsida; Poales; Poaceae. The record is from RNAcentral.